Molecule: long non-coding RNA, 236 nt
Organism: Dermacentor silvarum
Lineage: Eukaryota; Metazoa; Arthropoda; Arachnida; Ixodida; Ixodidae
Exons: 3
Source: RefSeq, a predicted model, not a curated record
UUUCUCGGCCAUGGGGGCCUGCUUGCAAUACCAGUGGCAUGGCAGUCUUUUGGGUGGUUCUCUUCGUUCUGGAGGAGCACAAUCAUUUCUGAGGAACCUUGUGACCACCACUACAGCAAUACUGUGUUUGGCAAAGUAGAAGGCAUUUGCAAGCAACCAGUCAUUCCAAUUCUCAACCAAUCCUUCCUCUAGUCAGUCCAUUUCUAGUGUCUAGUCAUGUAAGUUCUUUUUUUCAG